GAUGAAGAACGUAGCGAAAUGCGAUACGUAAUGUGAAUUGCAGAAUUCAGUGAAUCAUCGAAUCUUUGAACGCACAUUGCGCCUGCCAGCACUCUGGCAGGCAUGCCUGUUCGAGCGUCAUUUCAACCAUCAAGCCCUAGGCUUGCGUUGGAGCCCUGCGGCAGCCGCAGGCCCCUAAAAGCAGUGGCGGGCUCGCUAUCACACCGAGUGCAGUAGAUUACUCUUCGCUCUGGGCGUGCUGCGGGUUCCGGCCGUUAAACCACCUUCAUAACCCAAGGUUGACCUCGGAUCAGGUAGGAAGACCCGCUGAACUUAAGCAUAUCAAUAAGCGGAGGA
This 336-nucleotide unclassified non-coding RNA is filed under the name soil metagenome. RNAcentral describes it as "partial contains 5.8S ribosomal RNA, internal transcribed spacer 2, and large subunit ribosomal RNA". The stretch from base 1 to 120 matches the Rfam family "5.8S ribosomal RNA", at positions 35 to 154 of the family's 154-position model. The record is from RNAcentral.